RNAcentral lists this ribosomal RNA (205 nucleotides) under uncultured bacterium. Its description in RNAcentral is "partial 16S ribosomal RNA". It matches the Rfam family "Bacterial small subunit ribosomal RNA", at positions 28 to 226 of the family's 1533-position model. The record is from RNAcentral.
GACGAACGCUGGCGGCGUGCCUAACACAUGCAAGUUGAGCGACGAACCAGGGCUUGCCCUGGGGCAAAGCAGCGAACGGGUGAGUAACACGUGGGUAACCUGCCCCGAUAACCGGGACAACCCGAGGAAACUCGGGCUAAUACCGGAUGUGCUCCUUGACCUCGAGGUCACGGCGUAAAGAUAGCUUCGGCCUUCGCAUCGGGAC